This 253-nucleotide ribosomal RNA is filed under the name uncultured bacterium. RNAcentral's name for it is "partial 16S ribosomal RNA". It matches the Rfam family "Bacterial small subunit ribosomal RNA", at positions 524 to 776 of the family's 1533-position model. The record is from RNAcentral.
UACGGGGGGGGCAAGCGUUGUUCGGAAUUACUGGGCGUAAAGGGCUCGUAGGUGGCCAACUAAGUCAGACGUGAAAUCCCUCGGCUUAACCUGGGAAUUGCGCUUGAAACUAGGUUGCUAGAGUGUGGCAGAGGGGGGUGGAAUUCCACGUGUAGCAGUGAAAUGCGUAGAGAUGUGGAGGAACACCGAUGGCGAAGGCAGCCCCCUGGGUCAACACUGACGCUCAUGCACGAAAGCGUGGGGAGCAAACAGG